Molecule: ribosomal RNA, 268 nt
Filed under: uncultured bacterium
Lineage: Bacteria
Description: partial 16S ribosomal RNA
Rfam family: Bacterial small subunit ribosomal RNA
Source: RNAcentral
CCGAUGGCGACCGGCGCACGGGUGAGUAACACGUAUCCAACCUGCCGAUAACUCGGGGAUAGCCUUUCGAAAGAAAGAUUAAUAUCCGAUAGGAUAUCAAGGUCGCAUGAUCUUGAUAUUAAAGAAUUUCGGUUAUCGAUGGGGAUGCGUUCCAUUAGUUAGUUGGCAGGGUAACGGCCCACCAAGACGACGAUGGAUAGGGGUUCUGAGAGGAAGGUCCCCCACAUUGGAACUGAGACACGGUCCAAACUCCUACGGAAGGCAGCAG